This 840-nucleotide ribosomal RNA is filed under the name uncultured bacterium. Its description in RNAcentral is "bacterial SSU rRNA". It matches the Rfam family "Bacterial small subunit ribosomal RNA", at positions 1 to 849 of the family's 1533-position model. The record is from RNAcentral.
UUAGAGUUUGAUCCUGGCUCAGGACGAACGCUGGCGGCGUGCCUAACACAUGCAAGUCGAGCGAAUGAAGUUCCUUCGGGAACGGAUUUAGCGGCGGACGGGUGAGUAACACGUGGGCAACCUGCCUCAUAGAGGGGAAUAGCCUUCCGAAAGGGAGAUUAAUACCGCAUAAGAUUGUAGUACCGCAUGGUACAGCAAUUAAAGGAGCAAUCCGCUAUGAGAUGGGCCCGCGGCGCAUUAGCUAGUUGGUGAGGUAACGGCUCACCAAGGCGACGAUGCGUAGCCGACCUGAGAGGGUGAUCGGCCACAUUGGGACUGAGACACGGCCCAGACUCCUACGGGAGGCAGCAGUGGGGAAUAUUGCACAAUGGGGGAAACCCUGAUGCAGCAACGCCGCGUGAGUGAUGACGGCCUUCGGGUUGUAAAGCUCUGUCUUCAGGGACGAUAAUGACGGUACCUGAGGAGGAAGCCACGGCUAACUACGUGCCAGCAGCCGCGGUAAUACGUAGGUGGCGAGCGUUGUCCGGAUUUACUGGGCGUAAAGGGAGCGUAGGCGGAUUUUUAAGUGAGAUGUGAAAUACUCAGGCUUAACCUGAGUGCUGCAUUUCAAACUGGAAGUCUAGAGUGCAGGAGAGGAGAAGGGAAUUCCUAGUGUAGCGGUGAAAUGCGUAAAGAUUAAGAAGAACACCAGUGGCGAAGGCCCUUCUCUGGACUGUAACUGACGCUGAAGCUCAAAAGCGUGGGGAGCAAACAGGAAUAAAUACCCCUGGUACUCCCCCCCCGAAAACAAGAAAAACUAGGGGGAGGGGGGUGGCCUGAACCCUCUGGGCCCCCCCCCAA